AGUGAACGCUGGCGGUAGGCCUAACACAUGCAAGUCGAACGGCAGCACAGUAAGAGCUUGCUCUUACGGGUGGCGAGUGGCGGACGGGUGAGGAAUACAUCGGAAUCUACUUUUUCGUGGGGGAUAACGUAGGGAAACUUACGCUAAUACCGCAUACGACCUACGGGUGAAAGCAGGGGAUCUUCGGACCUUGCGCGAAUGAAUGAGCCGAUGUCGGAUUAGCUAGUUGGCGGGGUAAAGGCCCACCAAGGCGACGAUCCGUAGCUGGUCUGAGAGGAUGAUCCGCCACACUGGAGCUGAGACACGGUCCAGGCUCCUACGGGAGGCAGCAGUGGGGAAGAUUGGACAAUGGGCGCAAGCCUGCUCCAGCCAUACCGCGUGGGUGAAGAAGGCCUUCGGGUUGUAAAGCCCUUUUGUUGGGAAAGAAAAGCAGCAGGUUAAUACCCCGCUGUUCUGACGGUACCCAAAGAAUAAGCACCGGCUAACUUCGU
RNAcentral lists this ribosomal RNA (491 nucleotides) under uncultured bacterium. RNAcentral's name for it is "partial 16S ribosomal RNA". It matches the Rfam family "Bacterial small subunit ribosomal RNA", at positions 29 to 506 of the family's 1533-position model. The record is from RNAcentral.